AGAGUUUGAUCCUGGCUCAGAGUGAACGCUGGCGGUAGGCCUAACACAUGCAAGUCGAACGGCAGCACAGUAAGAGCUUGCUCUUACGGGUGGCGAGUGGCGGACGGGUGAGGAAUACAUCGGAAUCUACUUUUUCGUGGGGGAUAACGUAGGGAAACUUACGCUAAUACCGCAUACGACCUACGGGUGAAAGCAGGGGAUCUUCGGACCUUGCGCGAUUGAAUGAGCCGAUGUCGGAUUAGCUAGUUGGCGGGGUAAAGGCCCACCAAGGCGACGAUCCGUAGCUGGUCUGAGAGGAUGAUCAGCCACACUGGAACUGAGACACGGUCCAGACUCCUACGGGAGGCAGCAGUGGGGAAUAUUGGACAAUGGGCGCAAGCCUGAUCCAGCCAUACCGCGUGGGUGAAGAAGGCCUUCGGGUUGUAAAGCCCUUUUGUUGGGAAAGAAAUCCAGCUGGUUAAUACCCGGUUGGGAUGACGGUACCCAAAGAAUGAGCACCGGCUAACUUCGUGCCAGCAGCCGCGGUAAUACGAAGGGUGCAAGCGUUACUCGGAAUUACUGGGCGUAAAGCGUGCGUAGGUGGUUGUUUAAGUCUGUUGUGAAAGCCCUGGGCUCAACCUGGGAACUGCAGUGGAAACUGGACGACUAGAGUGUGGUAGAGGGUAGCGGAAUUCCUGGUGUAGCAGUGAAAUGCGUAGAGAUCAGAGGAACAUCCAUGGCGAAAGCAGCUACCUGGACCAACACUGACACUGAGGCACGAAAGCGUGGGGAGCA
This 774-nucleotide ribosomal RNA is filed under the name uncultured bacterium. RNAcentral describes it as "bacterial SSU rRNA". It matches the Rfam family "Bacterial small subunit ribosomal RNA", at positions 8 to 770 of the family's 1533-position model. The record is from RNAcentral.